GCCCGGGUGGCGGAAUUGGUAGACGCGCAUGGUUCAGGUCCAUGUGUCCGCAAGGACAUGGGGGUUCGACUCCCCCCUCGGGCACCA
This 87-nucleotide transfer RNA is filed under the name Planctomycetota bacterium. RNAcentral describes it as "Planctomycetes bacterium (subsurface metagenome) tRNA-Leu". It matches the Rfam family "tRNA". Rfam says of the family: Transfer RNA (tRNA) molecules are approximately 80 nucleotides in length. Their secondary structure includes four short double-helical elements and three loops (D, anti-codon, and T loops). Further hydrogen bonds mediate the characteristic L-shaped molecular structure. tRNAs have two regions of fundamental functional importance: the anti-codon, which is responsible for specific mRNA codon recognition, and the 3' end, to which the tRNAs corresponding amino acid is attached (by aminoacyl-tRNA synthetases). tRNAs cope with the degeneracy of the genetic code in two manners: having more than one tRNA (with a specific anti-codon) for a particular amino acid; and 'wobble' base-pairing, i.e. permitting non-standard base-pairing at the 3rd anti-codon position. The record is from RNAcentral. Lineage: Bacteria; Pseudomonadati; Planctomycetota.